This 89-nucleotide transfer RNA is filed under the name Nitrososphaerota archaeon. RNAcentral describes it as "tRNA-Ser". It matches the Rfam family "tRNA". Rfam says of the family: Transfer RNA (tRNA) molecules are approximately 80 nucleotides in length. The record is from RNAcentral. Lineage: Archaea; Thermoproteati; Nitrososphaerota.
GCCGGGGUGGCGGAGUGGCUAACGCGUCAGCCUCGAGAGCUGAUGGGCCCUUGCGGCCCCCAUGGGUUCAAGUCCCAUCCCCGGCGCCA